CCAGCUGUGCUGCCUGCAGUCACCCCUGCAGUCUUCAGCCUUUGCCACCUCCAUAAUUCUGCAGAAGGAGCAGGGAAGACAAGAGCAACGAGCACGGGGUGCGGGGACACAGCGGAGCAGAAGAGCACGGAGCACGGACUUGUGGGUGAAGACACGACACGGAAGUCAAGGGGAAAACACGGGGUUGAUUCUGUGACUAUUUACACCACUGUAAAUAAACGCACUGCCUUCAUCACAAAGUCCUGCAUCUUGGGUCCUCAUUCCCCAUACCCCCACGGUCUGCCAUGCCGAACCGUGACAGUUCCUGUGUUUUGAAGAACUUUUCCUGCCAGCAGCAGCAUUUCAAUGAGCAAACUGGGCGGAUUUAAGUCCCAUUAAGUGGGUAUUGGAUAAUCUUCUUUGAUCCAACUUCACUUCCUGAUUUAGGAUAAUAACACAUGUAUUUAUAAAAAUGACUCCUUUAAAUCACUGUCUUUUUGUGUAAACACAAAGAGCCAGUUCUUCUGCUUAAUUCAUUCUGGUGUGAGCUUUAUACGGACAGGGCACAAAGAGAUCUUAUGCUUGAGUCUUUGGGAUGAAUGAUUAUUC
This 588-nucleotide long non-coding RNA is filed under the name Oreochromis niloticus (Nile tilapia). RNAcentral describes it as "lncRNA (ENSONIG00000027338.1)". Lineage: Eukaryota; Metazoa; Chordata; Actinopteri; Cichliformes; Cichlidae. The record is from RNAcentral.